Molecule: RNA transcript, 1467 nt
Organism: Erigeron canadensis
Lineage: Eukaryota; Viridiplantae; Streptophyta; Magnoliopsida; Asterales; Asteraceae
Gene name: protein LOW PSII ACCUMULATION 1, chloroplastic
Exons: 6
Source: RefSeq, a predicted model, not a curated record
CAAAAAAACAAAACAAAGUAACAAACCAAGAACCACUACUUGUGAAAAACAGUUGAAACAUUUUUACAGAAAUCUCCGGUGAGCCAACACCAAUGUCUACUACGAUGGCACAUCAUCUUGCUAUAGUUACUUCUUCCGGUUUUCGACAUACUUCGAAAUGCUUUGGUUUUUCUUUCUAUAUCAAUGGCCAUAAAUUCACCACCAGCCAUACUACAGUUACUAUAAAUAGAAACAGAACCAAGAUUCCUUUGUUAGUUACCUGUUCCUCUGCUAAACCGUCUUCGUCUACAGAAAUCAGUUCCCAAGCGAGAAUUAGGAGUGAAGUUCUUACCCCAUUUAGAUCGGUUAGGAUGUUCUUUUAUAUCGCUUUCGUUGCACAAGCUUCACUUGGUGGAUUGAUAGCCACUACACAGCUUAUUGGUGCAUUGUCUAAUCCUGCAAGAGCAGAUUCAGUUAUUGACAUUGCAAAAGGCCUUGGCAUAGACGUAGGAGCUGCAGCUCUGUUUGGAUUCUUGUAUAAUAGAGAAAACAAAAUCAAGAAUGCACAAAUGGCCCGGCUUUCAAGAGAAGAAAAUCUUUCAAACCUUAAAUUGCGUGUAGAUGAAAAGAAGAUUAUCACUGUUAGUGAAUUUAGAGGACUUGCCCGUCUUGUAAUCCUUGCUGGACCUUCAUCAUUCAUAACAGAAGCUUUUAAACGUAGUGAAACGUUUACUGAACAGCUUAUAGAAAGAGGGGUGCUUGUGGUGCCUUUUUCGACUGAUGGAAAUGCACCUGAAUUUGAGUUUGACGAGACUGAUGACUCGAAAGACUUAACAAACAAAAGAAAAAGGCUUUGGCAGCUUGUACCUGUCCUUACGCCAGAAUGGUCCGAUUGGCUGGAUGACCAGAAGAAACUGGCCAAUGUGUCACCUGAAUCUCCAGUGUAUCUAUCUCUGAGGUUGGAUGGACGUGUACGUGGAAGUGGUGUGGGUUACCCACCUUGGAAUGCCUUUGUAGCACAGUUGCCUCCAGUAAAAGGAAUGUGGUCUGGCCUUCUUGACGGCAUGGAUGGAAGAGUCCUUUAGAAAUCAUUUAUUUUUUUCCGAAUAUAUGAAGGUUUGACAUAGCUUCAGGCUUCAGCAAUAACACCGUUAAUUAGAGUUCAUCAAAUACUUGGUGGCAUACCAUUCGGGUACAUUUGUUGAUCGGCUUUACUUCAUCAAACAAACAAGAAAACUUCAACUCUUUGGAUCGGAAAGUAUGAUAAUUUGUCAAUUUAAAGAGAUAUCAACUGCGUUGAUACAAGUCUGCGACUCAUUUUUACUUUCGCAGUAUAUGGUUUUGUAUAGCAGGUGACCGAAAUAUACUACCAUAUAGAUUCUGGAAAACGUUUCAUUAUCGUGUAUGUUCAUAUUACUUCGUUAUACUAACAAUUCAGCUAAGAUUACAGUAAUAUUAUAGAUAAGCGUAUGUUUGUUGCGAAUCUAA